AGUGAACGCUGGCGGUAGGCCUAACACAUGCAAGUCGAACGGCAGCACAGUAAGAGCUUGCUCUUACGGGUGGCGAGUGGCGGACGGGUGAGGAAUAAAUCGGAAUCUACUUUUUCGUGGGGGAUAACGUAGGGAAACUUACGCUAAUACCGCAUACGGCCUACGGGUGAAAGCAGGGGAUCUUCGGACCUUGCGCGAUUGAAUGAGCCGAUGUCGGAUUAGAUAGUUGGCGGGGUAAAGGCCCACCAAGGCGACGAUCCGUAGCUGGUCUGAGAGGAUGGUCAGCCACACUGGAACUAAGACACGGUCCAGACUCCUACGGGAGGCAGCAGUGGGGAAUAUUGGACAAUGGGCGCAAGCCUGAUCCAGCCAUACCGCGUAGGUGAAGAAGGCCUUCGGGUUGUAAAGCCCUUUUGUUGGGAAAGAAAAGCAGCAGGUUAAUACCCCGCUGUUCUGACGGUACCCAAAGAAUAAGCACCGGCUAACUUCGUG
Molecule: ribosomal RNA, 492 nt
Filed under: uncultured bacterium
Lineage: Bacteria
Description: partial 16S ribosomal RNA
Rfam family: Bacterial small subunit ribosomal RNA
Source: RNAcentral